This 208-nucleotide ribosomal RNA is filed under the name uncultured bacterium. RNAcentral describes it as "partial 16S ribosomal RNA". It matches the Rfam family "Bacterial small subunit ribosomal RNA", at positions 335 to 528 of the family's 1533-position model. The record is from RNAcentral.
ACUCCUACGGGAGGCAGCAGUGGGGAAUAUUGCACAAUGGGCGCAAGCCUGAUGCAGCCAUGCCGCGUGUGUGAAGAAGGCCUUCGGGUUGUAAAGCACUUUCAGUUGUGAGGAAAGGAUUAGUCGCUAAUAUCGGGUACUAGCUGNGAUCGUUUAGCAACAGAAGAAGCACCGGCAUAACUCCGUGCCAGCAGCCGCGGUAAUACGG